RNAcentral lists this ribosomal RNA (831 nucleotides) under uncultured Bacteroidota bacterium. RNAcentral describes it as "bacterial SSU rRNA". It matches the Rfam family "Bacterial small subunit ribosomal RNA", at positions 60 to 893 of the family's 1533-position model. The record is from RNAcentral. Lineage: Bacteria; Pseudomonadati; Bacteroidota.
AGUCGAGGGGUACAUUGGUGCUUGCCCAGAUGACGACCGGCGCACGGGUGCGUAACGCGUAUAGAACCUACCUUUUACAGGGGAAUAGCCUUUAGAAAUGAAGAUUAAUGCCCCAUAGUAUUACGACUUGGCAUCAAGUUGUAUUUAAAGAUUUAUCGGUAAAAGAUGGCUAUGCGUCCUAUUAGUUAGUUGGUAAGGUAACGGCUUACCAAGACAUCGAUAGGUAGGGGUCCUGAGAGGGAGAUCCCCCACACUGGUACUGAGACACGGACCAGACUCCUACGGGAGGCAGCAGUGAGGAAUAUUGGACAAUGGAGGCAACUCUGAUCCAGCCAUGCCGCGUGCAGGAAGACGGCCCUAUGGGUUGUAAACUGCUUUUAUACAGGAAGAAACAUCCCGACGUGUCGGGACUUGACGGUACUGUAAGAAUAAGGACCGGCUAACUCCGUGCCAGCAGCCGCGGUAAUACGGAGGGUCCGAGCGUUAUCCGGAAUCAUUGGGUUUAAAGGGUCCGCAGGCGGUCAAUUAAGUCAGAGGUGAAAUCCCAUAGCUUAACUAUGGAACUGCCUUUGAUACUGGUUGACUUGAGUCAUAUGGAAGUAGAUAGAAUGUGUAGUGUAGCGGUGAAAUGCAUAGAUAUUACACAGAAUACCGAUUGCGAAGGCAGUCUACUACGUAUGUACUGACGCUCAUGGACGAAAGCGUGGGGAGCGAACAGGAUUAGAUACCCUGGUAGUCCACGCCGUAAACGAUGGAUACUAGUUGUUGGGAUUUAUCUCAGUGACUAAGCGAAAGUGAUAAGUAUCUCACCUNGGGAGUACGGUCGCAAGA